RNAcentral lists this long non-coding RNA (1597 nucleotides) under Homo sapiens (human). RNAcentral describes it as "HSALNT0039080". Lineage: Eukaryota; Metazoa; Chordata; Mammalia; Primates; Hominidae. The record is from RNAcentral.
UAGGGUGCCAUUAGCCAGGAGAGCUCCUGCCCAGGAUUUGUACCCAGCCACAUUGACACCCAGAAUGGAGCUACCUUGCCCAGCUUCCCUUACAACCAGGCAAGGAUGUCACAAUGUAGAACCAAUGGGAUGAAGGCAGAAACGUUGUGCGGCAGCUGCUGAGAACCUUCCUUAAAACCUAGUCAGAAUGAACCCUAUACAACCCUAUACCCAUCUGCCUUGGCAUACAGUUGUUGAAUCCUGGGCUGCGAGGACAGAGGUCCCUUCCAGGGGUGAUGGAGUGGUGAGUAGAAGGGAGCCUGGGUCCUGAGGACUUAAGGCAGAGUUGCCUUACCAGCUGUGGAAGGCAGAGCUUGGGCCUCAUGACUUUUGCCCUUGGCAUUAUUCAUGGAUAUGUUACAUUACAUGGCAAAAUGUAAUUAAGGUACCAAUUAGUUGACCUUAAAAUCGGAAGAUUGUCCUGGAUUCACCAGGUGGACCUAGUUUAAAUUGUAUGAGCCCUUGAAAGGGAAGAUCUUUUUCCAGCCCGUCGCAGAAGGGGAAGGCAGAGAUUUGAAGCAUGAGAAGGAUUCGCCAUGCAAUUAUUGGCUUGAAGAUGAGGGCAUCUGCAUGUCAAGGAGAUAGGGAUCUCAGUUUCACAACUGCAAUGAACUGAAUUCUGCUAACAACCUAGAUGCACUUGUAAGUGGAUUCUUCCCCAGAGUCUGCAGACAGCCCAGCCCAGCCAACACUUUGAAAGCCAAAGUGGAUUUUAGCUUUGAGAGUCCCUGAGCACAGAACGCAACUGCGCCACACUGUACCAGGACUUCUGGUCCAUGGAUGCUGUGAGCUAAUAACUUUGUGUCUUUUAAAGCUGCUGCAUGUGUGGUGAUUUGCUAUGCAGCAAUAGACAAUGGACAGGCUAGCCUGUAUGUAAGUGAAAAACAUCGUUUGUUUUCUUCUCAAUUGCAGCCCAACCUGAUCACAACUAAUGCACAAACAAAUAAUCCAAGGCUGAACUGUUGACUGUGGAGACAGGAGAUGCAGUGAAGAAUAUUUCUAUUUGAGUGACCCAGGUGGAGGAAGAGAGUGGAGGCAAGAAUAUAGAUGUAAGCAUCCUUGACCUCCCCAAUUCAUUGCUGGGCAGGAGGCAGAUAAACAGAGGCUUCCAGAAGGGUUCAUGUGAGUCCUGGAGCAGAAGGUUUGUCCAUGCAUCUUCAGACAUGGCCUGGAAAGAUUACUCACCUCUCAGAAAAAUCUGGGGGGCUGCUGCUUCUCAUAUUGAGUUAGAAGGCAGAGCUUGGACACUGGACCAAAUUGAGGACUAGCUAAAAUGCGGAUGGGGCAAAAACAACUUUCUAUAAGAUAUGCCCAACAGAGUGCCAUGUCGGUUUACCAUUGCCAGGGCAACACUCGAGCGGUACCACCUUUGUCCAUGGCAAUGACUCAACCACCUAGAAAUUACCACUCUUUUUCAAGAAAUUUUUGCAUAAUCUGUCCCUUAAUUUUCAAAGUAAAUAUAAGUGUGAGUACAAAACUGCUUCUGAGCUGCUGCUCUGGGCACACUGCCUCUGGGGUAGCCCUGCUCCACAAGGCACAACACCUCUGCUGCUGCUUC